CCUACGGGGGGCAGCAGUAGGGAAUAUUGCUCAAUGGGGGAAACCCUGAAGCAGCAACGCCGCGUGAAGGAAGAAGGCUUUCGGGUUGUAAACUUCUUUUAAGAGGGAAGAGCAGAAGACGGUACCUCUUGAAUAAGCCACGGCUAACUACGUGCCAGCAGCCGCGGUAAUACGUAGGUGGCAAGCGUUGUCCGGAUUUACUGGGUGUAAAGGGCGUGUAGCCGGGCUGACAAGUCAGAUGUGAAAUCCGGGGGCUCAACCCCCGAACUGCAUUUGAAACUGUUGGUCUGGAGUAUCGGAGAGGCAGGCGGAAUUCCUAGUGUAGCGGUGAAAUGCGUAGAUAUUAGGAGGAACACCAGUGGCGAAGGCGGCCUGCUGGACGACAACUGACGGUGAGGCGCGAAAGCGUGGGGAGCAAACAGGAUUAGAUACCCUUGUAGUC
This 442-nucleotide ribosomal RNA is filed under the name uncultured bacterium. Its description in RNAcentral is "partial 16S ribosomal RNA". It matches the Rfam family "Bacterial small subunit ribosomal RNA", at positions 338 to 795 of the family's 1533-position model. The record is from RNAcentral.